This 253-nucleotide ribosomal RNA is filed under the name uncultured bacterium. RNAcentral's name for it is "partial 16S ribosomal RNA". It matches the Rfam family "Bacterial small subunit ribosomal RNA", at positions 524 to 776 of the family's 1533-position model. The record is from RNAcentral.
UACGAAGGGGGCUAGCGUUGCUCGGAAUCACUGGGCGUAAAGGGUGCGUAGGCGGGUCUUUAAGUCAGGGGUGAAAUCCUGGAGCUCAACUCCAGAACUGCCUUUGAUACUGAAGAUCUUGAGUUCGGGAGAGGUGAGUGGAACUGCGAGUGUAGAGGUGAAAUUCGUAGAUAUUCGCAAGAACACAAGUGGCGAAGGCGGCUCACUGGCCCGAUACUGACGCUGAGGCACGAAAGCGUGGGGAGCAAACAGG